RNAcentral lists this ribosomal RNA (378 nucleotides) under uncultured eukaryote. RNAcentral's name for it is "partial 18S ribosomal RNA". It matches the Rfam family "Eukaryotic small subunit ribosomal RNA", at positions 592 to 976 of the family's 1831-position model. The record is from RNAcentral.
CAAUAGCGUAUAUUUAAGUUGUUGCAGUUAAAAAGCUCGUAGUUGGAUUUCGGGUGGGACGCAGCGGUCUCGCAUUGCGUUUGUACUGCUGCAGCCCUCCUUCUUGCCGGGGGCGACCUCUCGGACUUCACUGUCUGGGGGUCAGAAUCGGCGAUGUUACUUUGAGUAAAUUAGAGUGUUCAAAGCAAGCUUACGCUCUGAAUAUAAUAGCAUGGGAUAACACGACAGGACUCUGGCCUAUCGUGUUGGUCUAUAGGACCAGAGUAAUGAUUAAGAGGGACAGUCGGGGGCAUUCGUAUUCCGUUGUCAGAGGUGAAAUUCUUGGAUUUACGGAAGACGAACAUCUGCGAAAGCAUUUGCCAAGGAUGUUUUCAUUGA